Molecule: microRNA precursor, 97 nt
Filed under: Tursiops truncatus (common bottlenose dolphin)
Lineage: Eukaryota; Metazoa; Chordata; Mammalia; Artiodactyla; Delphinidae
Description: miRNA (ENSTTRG00000024705.1)
Source: RNAcentral
AUCAUCUGAGGAUCUUGUUAAAAUACAGAUUCUGAUUCAGUAAGUCUUAGAUGGGGCCUGAGAUUCUGCAUUUCUAACCAGCUCCCAGGUGAUGCCA